UACGUAGGGGGCAAGCGUUGUCCGGAAUCAUUGGGCGUAAAGCGCGUGUAGGCGGUCCGGUAAGUCCGCUGUGAAAGUCGGGGGCUUAACCCUCGGAUGCCGGUGGAUACUGUCGGGCUUGAGUACGGAAGAGGCGAGUGGAAUUCCCAGUGUAGCGGUGAAAUGCGUAGAUAUUGGGAGGAACACCAGUGGCGAAGGCGGCUCGCUGGACCGGAACUGACGCUGAGGCGCGAAAGCGUGGGGAGCAAACAGG
RNAcentral lists this ribosomal RNA (253 nucleotides) under uncultured bacterium. RNAcentral describes it as "partial 16S ribosomal RNA". It matches the Rfam family "Bacterial small subunit ribosomal RNA", at positions 524 to 776 of the family's 1533-position model. The record is from RNAcentral.